This 466-nucleotide ribosomal RNA is filed under the name uncultured bacterium. Its description in RNAcentral is "partial 16S ribosomal RNA". It matches the Rfam family "Bacterial small subunit ribosomal RNA", at positions 28 to 507 of the family's 1533-position model. The record is from RNAcentral.
GAUGAACGCUGGCGGCGUGCUUAACACAUGCAAGUCGAACGAUGAAGCCCAGCUUGUUGGGUGGAUUAGUGGCGAACGGGUGAGUAACACGUGAGUAACCUGCCCUUAACUCUGGGAUAAGCCUGGGAAACUGGGUCUAAUACCGGAUAGGAGCGUCCACCGCAUGGGGGGUGUUGGAAAGAUUUAUCGGUUUUGGAUGGACUCGCGGCUUAUCAGCUUGUUGGUGGGGUAAUGGCUCACCAAGGCGACGACGGGUAGCCGGCCUGAGAGGGUGACCGGCCACACUGGGACUGAGACACGGCCCAGACUCCUACGGGAGGCAGCAGUGGGGAAUAUUGCACAAUGGGCGCAAGCCUGAUGCAGCGACGCCGCGUGAGGGAUGACGGCCUUCGGGUUGUAAACCUCUUUCAGUAGGGAAGAAGCGAAAGUGACGGUACCUGCAGAAGAAGCACCGGCUAACUACGUG